CCAGCCAUGCCGCGUGUGUGAAGAAGGCCCUCGGGUUGUAAAGCACUUUCAGCGAGGAAGAACGCCUAGCGGUUAAUACCCGCUAGGAAAGACAUCACUCGCAGAAGAAGCACCGGCUAACUCCGUGCCAGCAGCCGCGGUAAUACGGAGGGUGCAAGCGUUAAUCGGAAUUACUGGGCGUAAAGCGCGCGUAGGUGGCUUGAUAAGCCGGUUGUGAAAGCCCCGGGCUCAACCUGGGAACGGCAUCCGGAACUGUCAAGCUAGAGUGCAGGAGAGGAAGGUAGAAUUCCCGGUGUAGCGGUGAAAUGCGUAGAGAUCGGGAGGAAUACCAGUGGCGAAGGCGGCCUUCUGGACUGACACUGACACUGAGGUGCGAAAGCGUGGGUAGCAAACAGGAUUAGAUACCCUGGUAGUCCACGCCGUAAACGAUGUCGACCAGCCGUUGGGUGCCUAGCGCACUUUGUGGCGAAGUUAACGCGAUAAGUCGACCGCCUGGGGAGUACGGCCGCAAGGUUAAAACUCAAAUGAAUUGACGGGGGCCCGCACAAGCGGUGGAGCAUGUGGUUUAAUUCGAUGCAACGCGAAGAACCUUACCUACUCUUGACAUCCUGCGAAUUUGGUAGAGAUACCUUAGUGCCUUCGGGAACGCAGAGACAGGUGCUGCAUGGCUGUCGUCAGCUCGUGUUGUGAAAUGUUGGGUUAAGUCCCGUAACGAGCGCAACCCUUGUCCUUAUUUGCCAGCGCGUAAUGGCGGGAACUCUAAGGAGACUGCCGGUGACAA
This 781-nucleotide ribosomal RNA is filed under the name Vreelandella aquamarina. RNAcentral's name for it is "bacterial SSU rRNA". It matches the Rfam family "Bacterial small subunit ribosomal RNA", at positions 388 to 1161 of the family's 1533-position model. The record is from RNAcentral. Lineage: Bacteria; Pseudomonadati; Pseudomonadota; Gammaproteobacteria; Oceanospirillales; Halomonadaceae.